CAUUGAAAUUGUAAAUCUCAUCAUCUCUCCUGUUUCCUAUUACCAAACCCACCACCACCUCUCUCUCUCUCUCUCUCUCUCUCAUUCUCUUUCACUUUCUCUCUCUAACCCAAACCCUAACAAAGACUUUUGGUCUUCUUCUUCUUCUUCUUCACAAUCCGAUGCUCUGAUCCCCUCAAAUCUCACACCGUGGAUCCGAUUCGCUAGAUUAAUGCCUUUUGGAAUUACAAGAGCAUAUUAAAUGGAUGAUGAUUGUACAGAUGGAUAAAAUGUCUGCCCCUCCAUCAAGGGAGCGUGCCCAACGUCUUUAUGAGAAGAAUAUUGAAUUGGAGAAUAAGCGUCGGAGGUCUGCCCAGGCACGAAUCCCAUCAGAUCCCAAUGCAUGGCAACAGAUUCGUGAGAAUUAUGAGUCAAUAAUUCUCGAGGAUCAUGGUUUCUCUGAGCAGCACAACAUUGAAUAUGCUCUAUGGCAGCUACAUUACAAGCGAAUUGAGGAACUGAGAGGACACUUUAGUUCUGCUCUAGCUUCUGCAGGCUCAAACACAUCUCAGGGUGUGAAAGGCCCUGCACGGCCAGACCGAAUUACAAAAAUAAGAUUGCAGUUUAAAACCUUUCUUUCAGAAGCAACUGGGUUUUACCAUGAACUCAUUUUGAAAAUCAGAGACAAGUAUGGGCUUCCUCUGGGUUAUUUCUCUGAGGAGUCAGAGAAUCGAAUUGUUAUGGAGAAAGAUGGGAAGAAAUCUGCUGAAAUGAAGAAAGGUCUGAUAUCUUGUCAUCGUUGUCUGAUAUACUUGGGUGACCUUGCACGUUACAAAGGAUUAUAUGGGGAGGGUGACUCCAAAAGUAGGGAGUUUGCAGCAGCUUCAAGUUAUUACUUGCAAGCUGCAUCUCUUUGGCCAUCAAGUGGAAAUCCCCAUCAUCAGCUUGCUAUAUUGGCUUCCUAUUCGGGGGAUGAGCUGGCGGCUGUUUAUCGAUAUUUCCGGAGUUUGGCAGUGGAUAGUCCAUUUUCAACUGCAAGGGAUAACUUGAUUGUUGCAUUUGAGAAGAAUCGUCAGACUUACUCUCAACUACCUGAGGAUGUUAAAGCUUCUGUCGUUAAGGGGUCACCUGUGCGGGUGACUGGCAAAGGAAGAGGGAAAGGGGAUGCAAAACUUGCAUCAAAAGAUAUCAACUCAGAAAGUAGCCAGGUUAAGGAGAGAGCAUCUGCUGUGCCUGAGACGUAUAAAUCCUUUUGCAUCCGAUUUGUUCGUCUAAAUGGCAUUCUUUUCACACGUACAAGCCUGGAGACAUUUGCGGAAGUUCUUUCUUUGGUUAGCAGUGGUUUAUGUGAGCUUCUGUCUUCUGGGCCCGAAGAAGAUCUGAAUUUUGGUGUGGAUGCUCGUGAGAAUGGACUUCUCAUUGUUAGACUUAUUGCCAUCCUUGUAUUUACAGUUCACAAUGUAAGAAAAGAGGCUGAAGGUCAGACUUACGCGGAAAUUGUACAGCGUGCUGUUCUACUCCAAAAUGCAUUUACUGCAGUUUUUGAGCUGAUGGGACGCAUAUUGGAGAGAUGUGUGCAGCUACGUGAACCUUCUUCAAGUUGCCUCUUACCUGGCAUUCUGGUGUUUGUAGAAUGGUUGGCGUGUUGCCCGGAUAUUGCAGCAGGCAGUGAUGCAGAUGAAAAACAGGCAACGAUUAGAUCAAAAUUUUGGAACCAUUGCAUUUCUUUCUUAAACAAGCUCUUGUCCAAUGGGCCAAUGUCCAUAGAUGAUGAUGAAGAUGAGAGUUGCUUUAAUAACAUGAGCAGGUAUGAAGAAGAUGAAACAGAAAACAGGCUUGCUUUGUGGGAGGACCUUGAGUUAAGAGGUUUCUUGCCACUAAUUCCAGCUCAAACCAUUUUGGAUUUUUCAAGGAAGCAUUCCUUUGGAGGAGAUGGUAACAAGGAAAAAAUGGCUCGUAUUAAAAGGAUUCUAGCUGCAGGGAAGGCUCUAGCAAAUGUGGUUAAGGUUGAUCAAGAAACAAUACAUUUUGAUUCGAAAGUGAAGAAAUUUGUUAUUGGUGUUGAGCCUCAAGUCUUGGAUGAUUUUAUGCUUCCAACCACUUAUUCAGGCAUCCCUAAUACAAACAGUAUCAUGAUUGAAAAACAAACGGAGACAUCAAAGAAUUUGGGUGUCCUGCAGCCAAAUCCUGAGCUACUUAUGGAAGAGGAAGAGGAGGAUGAAGUUAUUGUUUUUAAACCAACAGUGGCUGAGAGGCGGACUGAUGUGGUUGGUUUAAAAUGGGAUCAGUAUGGGGGCCUGGAGCCUGGUCAAAAUGCUUCUGUGGGUGAUCUAAAUUUUCUUGGUAAUUCUGUUUCAGCUCCUCUAGGUAAUCUUCAGCAGCAGAUUGCUCUUGAUGUGGGUUCACAAGUGCCUACAUCCUUUGGUAAUAUGGUCCCCCAGCAUUUUCAAUCAGCUCAGUCUCAUGCUUUGAAGUGGCCACUGGAAGGCGAAGCUCUUCUUGCUAAUGGUUUCAAAGGUCUAAGCUUUGUGGAGAAUGGCCAUAUAAUGAAAUCCGAGCAACAAGAUUUUGGCAUGUCCACUCCUGCUGCGUUUUCGGCUUCCAUCCAGCAAGCUAUCGGUCCUAAUACUUCUGGUAUGUCUUACAGUCUUGCAAAAGUCCCAGAAACUGUGAUACCAUCUAAGAUUGAUGCUUUUGCAUCUUCUGGAGCCAUGUCUGACAAUUUGUCUGUAAAGACAUCAUCAGCAUUGCCAGUAGGUUUGAGAAAAAGUCCAGUUAGUCGGCCUGUUAGACACAUUGGGCCUCCACCUGGUUUCAGCCCUGUUCCUUCUAAACAAGUGAAUGAACCCAUUUCUGGUUCAGAUUUGGUGAAUGAGAGUCCAUUGAUGGAUGAUUAUAGCUGGUUGGAUGGAUAUCAGUUGCCAGCAUCAGCUAAAGGCUCUAUGUCAAAUAGUUCGGUCAAUUACCCAUCUUAUUCAAACCCCCAGCCCAUCAGUAUCAGCAAUGGCAUGAAUGGGACUGUCAGUUUUCCAUUUCCUGGAAAACAAGUUCCAGCCAUGCCAUUCUCAGUAGAAAAUCAAAAAGGCUGGCAAGAAUACCAGAUGCUUGAGCAGCUAAAUCUACACCAUGAACAGCAGUUGCAGUUGCAGCAGCAGCAGCAUCAACUUGUUAAUGGAAAUCAGCACUUUACUCCACUGCCUGAACAAUAUAAAGGACAGUCUGUUUGGACAGGUCGUUACUUCGUGUGAUGUCGGUACGAGAGUAUAGGUGGUCCUCAAGAAUGAUUCUGGUGAAUGUACUGCAUCCUUUUGCUACCAAAUUUGAACUCCAACUUUGCAGCCUUGUCAAUGUUGAAUUUUUGUUGGAGCUUGGGUGGCAUUGGCUUUGUUGCAGGCACUUGCCAUUACACAAAUUUCGUCAAGCUCUCCAGCCCGGAGGAAGAGAAAUAUGGAAACAUCUAAUAUGAUGCGAAGUUCAUAUGAAGUAAAUGCCUUGUCUGGUUACUUGGGAUGAAUAGAACGUGUUAAUAAGAUCUUCUGUUGGCGUUGGGACUUAUGUCUCAGUCGUCUAACUGGUGGAAUAAAGAUGUGCUCCUCAUUAUACUUAACUGUUAUGACAGUCUAGCUGUCAAAAAUCACUGUAACGGUCUUUCAGCUAGCUGCUGAUAAUAAAUAAUGCUACUCCGAUUUCUUCACUUGUGAAGCUUUGGAGAGCUCCAGUGGUUGCUGGUUAUGAUCUUUGUUUUGGUAUCAGCAAGUUGGAUAGUGCGAUCUGGUAAUGACGACAAGAAGAGUCAUUUGGGUGAGUGCCGGUGUGAUGUCUAUGGUCGUUGUUUAAAGAUCUUUUAUGUUAUAUUUAUCUUCUACUGGGUUUGAGUAUAUGAUAGGGUCAUAAUUCAAUAACACUUUGGUGUUGAAGUCGGGAUUGUCUCGAACUUUUUUUUAUUAUGAAAAUAAUCUGUGGAAUAUACCUCCCAUGUUAAAGUGAUUAUAUCUCAUGGUAUAUUGGCUUUU
RNA transcript from Quercus robur (English oak), 3992 nucleotides. It is a transcript of the gene named nonsense-mediated mRNA decay factor SMG7, with no coding region annotated. The transcript is spliced from 8 exons. NCBI's taxonomy places the organism in Eukaryota, Viridiplantae, Streptophyta, Magnoliopsida, Fagales, Fagaceae. The record is from RefSeq and is a predicted model, not a curated record.